CACACAGGCUCCAUCAAGCCCACAACUUCGUCAGAAAUGACCGUCUGCAUUGCCGGAUGAGGAAAGAGAGAAGAGCGCUGAAGUUACCUGUCCACCUAGACAUUAAGGGGCUGCUCUUAGGCCAUACUAGCUCCUCGGAUUGCAUCCACUCUGUGCAAGGGACCAGACCAAGUGCUAAGUGUGACUUAUCCCCAUGGUUCAAAAUCAAACAUUUGACAACUAACUCAACUGAGGAUGUUUGACCCAGCCUCCUUUUCAAAUAAUUAAAGGUCAGAGCUACAUGAGCGCCGCUGGCGCCACCUAGGGGGCUGCCGGCACACUGCACUGAUGGGAACGCAAGGCGCAUCCUCCCUGACUCCUGCCACCUGCCUGGUGCCCAGGAGCUAGAUCAGCCUGAGAUAUUUUGAAAGAAGAGCCUAUAGAGACCUGAGUCACAAAGCCUGAAUUCUAGUUUUGACAUCGGCACGAACUCAUGAGGGACGUUGGACAAGUUCUUCCCCUUCUCAAGUCUUCUGAGUGCCUGGUAAAAUGGGAGGUUGGAUGACAAAGAUCUGUGUUACUCGUUCAACAGGUAGCCACUGAACAACUACAGGCACUGUUGGAGGGUCUGGGAGAGGGUCCUGCUCUCGGGAAGCUUACGUCAUAUGAGGGGUGAUCUAGACAAUAACAAGAAAACAAGUCGCAUAAAAGGAUAAAUAAUACAGUAGUAAGUGCUAGGAUGCAAAUAAAACAAGAUUGUGAGAGAAAGUGCUGGGGGGUCCACCUCAGACUGGGUGGUUAGGGAAAGCUGUCUGAGGAAGGGGCUUGGAGCUAAGA
Molecule: long non-coding RNA, 816 nt
Organism: Mustela erminea (ermine)
Lineage: Eukaryota; Metazoa; Chordata; Mammalia; Carnivora; Mustelidae
Exons: 3
Source: RefSeq, a predicted model, not a curated record